CAUGAACAUUCUGUUGUCCAACUGGUGAGCAUCCAUACCCUAAUGUAGGACACCAGAGUCUUGAUCCCCUUUGAGAACACCCAAAACUGAAUUGUGGUGACGGUCACAAACACAACCAUCCACGCACAGAGACCCAGAUCACAGCUAAAUAUCCGAUCACUACUGUGGCUGGUUUGUUGGCCCAAGACAAAAGUAUA
Molecule: long non-coding RNA, 197 nt
Organism: Thalassophryne amazonica
Lineage: Eukaryota; Metazoa; Chordata; Actinopteri; Batrachoidiformes; Batrachoididae
Exons: 4
Source: RefSeq, a predicted model, not a curated record